CAAAGACACUAAGCCCCGGGCGUCCAAGAUCCCGGGUGUGAUUUUAUCAUUAAAAAAAGUAACCGUGCACUCCUCCAAGAAUUUUAAUUCUCGCCUCCUCCUCAGCCCACUAGUCUCUUUGAAUCCCCAAGGCUGAAUAGUCCCUUGGGUUGGGGGCCAGUCCUUCGUCGCUGCCCUCCCGGGCCCUGCUCCCUCCGGGCCACUGACUCAACUUCCCCUAGUGCAACGCGGACUCAAGGAGACACGACGCCCGUCCCCGACUUGGAGCCAGGGGAGAGGGUCCUUCAGGGUCUGGCAGUCCUGGAGGCCCGGGGCGCCGCCUCCGAGGGGAGCGUGGCCGGAGGAGAUGUCAGGAGGUGGGGUCGCCGCUGGGCGCCCUGCCCGUCCCCAGCGGGAGCCAGCCCUGCUCCUUCUGCCUCGCCCCGACGGCUCAGCGGGCUCGGCCCAGCGCGGCUGCGGGACGUGAGUAAAAGGGGGUGCGAUCGGCUUGGGGAGAACGGGGACGGUUUCCUGUCCUUUGAACUGGACUGGAGGGGUGUGGAAGCCGGGGGUGGAAGCUAAGUUUUCACUUUCUCUCCAACCUGCGGCCCGUUUCAGCACCGGGGGCUGCGAACAGCGCCGCGCCCGCCCCUUCACGCAGCCGCCUCGCUCCCCGGCUCGCGGUUCUCUAAUUCGCCUCCUGUCUGGGGUCUGCGCCUCCAGCACACCUCCCGGCGCCCCCCAAAACUCCCAGCUCAAGAGCCCCUAAAAGCCUUACCCUACCAAAGUUUGAGCUUCUCCGCGGCGCGCCGGGGUCUACGGAGCGCCUCCUCCCGCAGCCUCCUGGGCGCAGCUCCGUUCGCUCCCUCCCCCGCGCUCCCGGCCCAGGACUGUGCUGGGGACGACGGAAGGAGCCUGUGGCCUCCCUCUCCGUGGGAAAGUCAGGAAGGUGUACGUCCAAGAACACACUUCUCCAUGAAGGAUGAAGACGGAAUCCCGCCUCUCCCUCACUGGCAGCUGCACACUGUCGUUCUGGAUCAUAGGAGCAGGUCCUGGGAGGAACCAAAGCCUCCUUGCCUGGGACAAGUCUCAAGACAGCCUCUUGGGUUCCAGGCUUUCAUGACUGAUAACCCUCAUGGGAAGAAACUCCACAAAAGCCAGCUAACUAGAACUUCACUGAGGACUUGGAGUUCAUGGCAUUUCCUCUUAGCAAAUCGCCUGUUCACUGAAGACAUUAUCUUUACAAGGCUUAAGUUUAUCGAGUUUACACAAUACUUGAAGGGAGAGAUGAACUGCAUACUCUUCACUGAAGAUGUAAAGAAUUAG
Molecule: long non-coding RNA, 1305 nt
Filed under: Callithrix jacchus (white-tufted-ear marmoset)
Lineage: Eukaryota; Metazoa; Chordata; Mammalia; Primates; Cebidae
Description: lncRNA (ENSCJAG00000073864.1)
Source: RNAcentral